AAAGAGGAAAGAAACAGAAUAGCAGGGGACGAAACAGAGAAGGGAGAGAGGAAGAAAAGAAAAAGGGAAAAAUAAGGUUUUAAAGGUUCCAAGUUAAUUUGCUAAUGUUGUCUCGGGAAACCUCGGCUAAGCAAGGAAAAAAAUGGCAAAGACAAAGGGAGUUAGCUCGAGAAAAUACGGUUUGUAUUUCUAUAAUCCGAACCUAGUUAUUAAUUGUUAUAUUUUUUUAUUCAAUGCAUUUAAUAAAUGUUGAAGUGAGAAUUAUUGUGUUUAUAAUGGAAAUGGAUUAAUUUGGUAUGUGAUGAAUUUAUAUUGAUUGAAUUAAAUUGAAUUAUAUAUUAUAAAUAUAUAUAUAUAUAUGUGUGUGUGUGUGUGUGUGUGAAUGAGAUAUUAUGCAAUUAUGAUAAUUGAAUUUUGGAUAAAUAUUAUGAUAAAUAAUUAAGAUGGGAAUUAUUUGUAUUGUGUCUUUAUAAUUGAAAUGAAUUGAUUUAGUGUGUGAUAAAUUUAUAUUGAAUUGAUUUAUGAAUAUCUGUUUUAUUGAGUUUAUAUUGAUUGAAAUUAUUUUGAUUGAAUUUAUAUUGAUUGAAUUAUAUAAUAUAUAUGAUUUAUGUAGAAAUUUGAAUAUUGAAUGAAUGUUAUAUUGAAAAAUAUAUUGAUUGGAAAUAUGAGGAAAUUGAUAUGAAUAUAUGAGAUUGUGAUAUUUGAAUAUUUGAUAUUGAAAAAUGAAUUGAAUUGUUUUGAAUUAUGAAUUAAUGUGAAUAAUUGAAAUAUAUUGUUGAAUUGAAUGAAAUUGUAUGAAUUGUGAAAAUGGGUAAAUAUAUGUAAUUAUCUGAAUGAGAUAUUGAUGAAAGAAUUAUUAAAUUGAGAAAGUGAAUGAAAUACCCUAUUAACUAGUCGGGCUAAGUCGGAUAUAAUUGGCAUGCCAUAGGAUCUGAAAGUGUACGGGAUUUGCCGGCUUUACCGAUUAGGCACUUUAUCUGUCGUAUUUCAGGCACCUCGUGUGUCGUAUCAGGCACCUCGUGUGUCGUUUUAGGCACUUUAUGUGUCGUAUACUGAUCAGGUACUAUGUACCGUUUUAGGCACAAUGUGCUGUACUGGUGUGUUUGGGUUGGAAUCCGUGUAUCCGUCAAAGUCCAGGUUUGUUAAUAGGGGUAAAUAAGUGAAAAGAUAAAUCGAGUGAAAUUGAUUGAUUGAACUAUUGGAAUGAAAUGAGAAAUUGAAUUGAGAAUUGAAAUUGAGAUAUGAGAUUGAAAACAUGAACCAAAAGGUUCAUGAAAUGAGUGAAGUUCAAAUGGAUGAUGAUUGAUGUUAAAAUGAAUUAAAAUGGUAUAUUGUUAAGAAGUAAAGUGUGAAUACAAGUGAAUUGUGAAUAUAUUGAAAGAAUUUAUACAGUAAGCAAAUGAAAAGAAUUGAGCAAAUAUGUUGUUGUGUUUGUUAUAUGGCUUGUAUAGAAUUUUUAUGGUAAGUAAAUGAAACUUAUCCAGAAAAUAAAUAAAUGAAUGGUUAUAUUUAUCAUUGUGAUUUUAAGUUUAAUUGUUAUAUUAUCAAGUGUUCGGAUUAUAGAAAUACCAUUGAGUAUACCAUACUCAGCGUACGGUUUGUUUUCGUGCGCAGGUUUAGUAAAGAUAGAACGUUGAAUCAGCAUCCCAGUCCGAUCCUAAAUUCAUUAAGGUAAAGUGUGUUAAUUAUUGGUAAUGGCAUGUACCUAGGAUGUCUUAUGUGUAUGUCAUUUUGAAAUUGUAAAUGUAAGGAUGAAAUAAAUAAAUUUAGAUUUGGCUAUGGUAUAAAAUAGGAUUUGAC
Molecule: long non-coding RNA, 1800 nt
Filed under: Gossypium barbadense (sea-island cotton)
Lineage: Eukaryota; Viridiplantae; Streptophyta; Magnoliopsida; Malvales; Malvaceae
Description: long non-coding RNA (GBAR_LNC007845)
Source: RNAcentral